This 76-nucleotide transfer RNA is filed under the name Pseudomonas sp. S35. Its description in RNAcentral is "tRNA-Asn". It matches the Rfam family "tRNA". Rfam says of the family: Transfer RNA (tRNA) molecules are approximately 80 nucleotides in length. Their secondary structure includes four short double-helical elements and three loops (D, anti-codon, and T loops). Further hydrogen bonds mediate the characteristic L-shaped molecular structure. tRNAs have two regions of fundamental functional importance: the anti-codon, which is responsible for specific mRNA codon recognition, and the 3' end, to which the tRNAs corresponding amino acid is attached (by aminoacyl-tRNA synthetases). tRNAs cope with the degeneracy of the genetic code in two manners: having more than one tRNA (with a specific anti-codon) for a particular amino acid; and 'wobble' base-pairing, i.e. permitting non-standard base-pairing at the 3rd anti-codon position. The record is from RNAcentral. Lineage: Bacteria; Pseudomonadati; Pseudomonadota; Gammaproteobacteria; Pseudomonadales; Pseudomonadaceae.
UCCGCGAUAGCUCAGUUGGUAGAGCAAAUGACUGUUAAUCAUUGGGUCCCUGGUUCGAGUCCAGGUCGUGGAGCAA